Molecule: unclassified non-coding RNA, 554 nt
Filed under: Hevea brasiliensis (rubber tree)
Lineage: Eukaryota; Viridiplantae; Streptophyta; Magnoliopsida; Malpighiales; Euphorbiaceae
Source: RNAcentral
GGAGUAUGGAGCUGAGGUCGAGUCGGGCUAGCUGGAGCAGAUACUGCAAAGAAAGGGUAAUUCAAGGAGGAUAAGGAUUCUUUAGCAGUGACUUCCCAAUUGGGGAAUGGCUGCGGAGUCCUCGAGGCUGGGGAUGAAAGGGGAGGGGUUACAGGAGCACUGUUUGAGAUUCUAAGAGGAGGAAGCGAUAUGGGAAUCGCUUGGCGAAGAUAAGGAAUGAGGUUCGACGGAUUGUUGGCGUCGAGACGGGACGGGCUCGGGAAGGAGGAGGAGGAGGGACUGACUUGGUAGGAUCCCAUAGGACUGGGGAAUGAAGAAGACAAUGGGCUUGGAUUUUGGGAAGAGUAAGGGGUGAUUUUGGUUGAAGUGCCAACAAUAUCAAUUGGGGGCGGCUUGCAUCCCUUCCGAUAAGUGGUUCCGUCAUCUUCGACGGUCCAACCAGCUUCAGCACAGAGGGCUUUAAGGACCUCGUUGUUGUCACAGUGUUUAGGCAAAUUGAAGUUUCCCUGAGCCCUAAGGCCAGAGUAAAUCUUAGCGGCGAUGGCUCUCCUCCG